Molecule: ribosomal RNA, 393 nt
Filed under: uncultured bacterium
Lineage: Bacteria
Description: partial 16S ribosomal RNA
Rfam family: Bacterial small subunit ribosomal RNA
Source: RNAcentral
AUACGGAGGAUCCGAGCGUUAUCCGGAUUUAUUGGGUUUAAAGGGUGCGCAGGCGGGAGAUUAAGUCGGCGGUGAAAUUUUGCAGCUCAACUGUAAAAGCGCCUUUGCAACCGGGUUCCUUGGGUGUAGAUGAAGUAGGCGGGAUUUGUGGUGUAGCGGUGAAAUGCAUAGAUAUCACGAGGAACUCCGAUUGCGCAGGCAGCUUACUAAACUACUACUGACGCUCAGGCACGAAGGCGUGGGGAUCAAACAGGAUUAGAUACCCUGGUAGUCCACGCAGUAAACGAUGAUUACUAGCUGUUUGCGAUACAAUGUAAGCGGCUGAGCGAAAGCGUUAAGUAAUCCACCUGGGGAGUACAUUCGCAAGAAUGAAACUCAAAUGAAUUGGCGGGG